This is a non-coding RNA of Paramuricea clavata, 228 nucleotides long. The record is from the annotation of a GenBank genome assembly. Lineage: Eukaryota; Metazoa; Cnidaria; Anthozoa; Malacalcyonacea; Plexauridae.
AGCAAAAAUAAAAAUCGCGCAGGGGAAACAGAAAGAAAAAAAUUCGUGCAUCAAGAAAGUUUGAAAAGGAAAAUUCGUGCACAGACUUUUCAAUAGGGAAAAUUAUAAGUUGAAAUAAAAAAAAUUCGUGCAAGGUUAGGCCUAGGGAUCAUAUUUAAAAAAAUUAUCGACACAAGCAAAAAAUCAAGAAAAAAUAUUCGUACAAGUUGAAAAAGCCCUCCCCUCCCC